Molecule: ribosomal RNA, 238 nt
Filed under: uncultured bacterium
Lineage: Bacteria
Description: partial 16S ribosomal RNA
Rfam family: Bacterial small subunit ribosomal RNA
Source: RNAcentral
CGGCGGACGGGUGAGUAACGCGUGGGUAACCUGCCUCAUACAGGGGGAUAACAGUUGGAAACGGCUGCUAAUACCGCAUAAGCGCACAGUACCGCAUGGUACGGUGUGAAAAACUCCGGUGGUAUGAGAUGGACCCGCGUCUGGUUAGGUAGUUGGUGGGGUAACGGCCUACCAAGCCGACGAUCAGUAGCCGACCUGAGAGGGUGACCGGCCACAUUGGAACUGAGACACGGUCCAA